Long non-coding RNA from Hypanus sabinus (Atlantic stingray), 2174 nucleotides. RefSeq lists it as uncharacterized. The transcript has 3 exons. Lineage: Eukaryota; Metazoa; Chordata; Chondrichthyes; Myliobatiformes; Dasyatidae. The record is from RefSeq and is a predicted model, not a curated record.
UUGACUUUUUCUGAUCCCAGUCGUUGCAAUGGGAGUAAUGGUGGGAGAUUCACUGUUGUUUGUUCCUGAUUUGCAGUGCCAGCGUGUCCUCAGGAAUGGAUCGAAAAUGAAGGUCGCUGUUAUUUCCUAUCCAUCCUGAAGAAAUCUUACGAUGGAGCGAAGGAACAUUGCUCAAUCUUUGAUGCAAGGCUCCUCAAAAUAAAUUCAAACCAGGAAGAGGAUUUUGUUUCCACCUCGAUCGGCGAUGAAUACAAAACUUACUGGAUUGGAAAAUGCAGAGACGGGAAGGUGGACUCUAAUCUUCUGUACAAGCCCUAUAGAUGGUCCAGCUGCAGUAAAUGCAGCACGUUCAGUGGCUACAAUUUCGAAAGUAAUUACAGAUUCAUCUGCGAGAAGUCGGCACAUUUAUGCCGGGAUAUUCCUGCAGAGAUCCGAGGUCUCUGUCAACACCCCGUGGUGAAGACUUAAAUCAAAUGAAUGCAUGCCACUUCUCCCCAUUCAAUCUACCCCACUUUCAAAUCCCCAUCUUUUUACUCCUUCCCACCCCCUCCUUCUACCCUUGUCUCCUCCCCUACUCACAGCCCCAUUCUCCCCCACUACUCUCCCUCUCCCCAUCUGGACCACUUUUCACACUUCCCGCCCCGCUCUUCCCAGAUCGCCCCAUUUAGUCCCCCUUUUUAUUCCUCUCUUUGCCCUUCUCCCCAGCUCAUUCCGCUUCUGCCCUUGCUCUCUCCCCCUCGGACCCCAUUCUCUGCCUCUCCGCUCUCCGUUCUCACCACCCUCUCUCACCUCAAUCCUGUGCACUCUGGCUCUCAAUUCCCCAACCCAGGGGAAAAGGCUGUGCACAUUCACCCUCUCUGUGCCCCUCCUGGCUUCAUACCCUCGCUCCAAGAAAUGUAGACACAUCCUUCCUGCUUGCUUCUGUCCGGCGACAUCCUCGUAAAUCUCCCCCGCACUCUUUCCAGCUCAGUGGCAUCUUUCCUACAGGAGGGUGACCAGAACUCAACACCGCCCUCCAAGCGCGGCCUCACCGACGCCUUGUACAACUUCAACGUGACCCCGGUACGGUGCAAUGAUGUAAAAUUAACGUAAACUGGGAGAAUUAAGAAACAGUGCAAUGAAGGUGAAUACCGAGUGUUCAGGGAGCGUUCGCAAUCUGAUGGAGGAAGAGAGGCAACUGCUUGUAAAUUGUAGAGUUUCCAGGCCCCUGUACCUCCUCCCCGAUUCCCCAAUGAGCACAGGGCAUUUCCCGGCGGGAGGGGCUCCUCGAUGAUGGAUGCGGUCUUCCCGACGCAUUCUCUCUUGACCAUGUCCUCAAUGGAGGGGAGGAUUGUUGACGGGUAAUAAUUGGCACUCUGAGCCUUAAAGCGAUGGUGCCGCUAACCACACUCCGGGGAAUGGGAAUGUCGAAACCUAGAUGUUUGCCGCUGUUCCGUCUGGAACGUGACAUCUUCUUCGUGUUUCAGUGAAUGUGCAAUCUCCACCCAGAUUGGUUACACAUUCUGCUACAUAGAUCCUACAUCGUCCCCCACUAUCGCACUGACCUCAGCCUCAAUCAAGGGCGCUACCCCACCUCCUUAACAUUCUUGCUCAUCAUUUCGUAUUCCCUGAUAUCCUUGGAUAUUGAAUUCCCAAUCCUCUCCACUUUGCAACCACGUCUCUGUAAUGACCACUAAAUCACUCCCCUUUGUACUGAUUUGUGCCACAAGUUCACUGACCUUAUUUGGAAACCUACGGGCAUUCAGACAAAGUGACUUUACACUCAUUGUGCUUUUAAAAUCAUGUCAUCUUUCUCUCUUUACACUUGAAGUCUCUUCGCUUCACUUCACUCCACCCCUACUUUUCUCUUUUUUAUCUUUUGAUUUUACUCGAUCUUUAUCCACACUUCUCACUUUUAUUUUAUCCAUACUCCGCCAGUCUGUUGAACAGAAACCGUCGUUGUGCGUUUCGCUGGGAUCCAGGUCCCAUCCCGGUUCAGGUGUAGCCCGUCCCGUUGGAACAGCUCCCUCCUUCCCCAAUACUGUUGCCGAUUUCCCAUGAAUUCAAACCCACUUCUCCCACACCAAACCUUGACCCACGCAUUUAACUCUCUAAUCUCCUUUACCUUAAGCCAAUUUCCCAUGGCUGAGGCUGUAAACAGGAGAUUCCCUCCUUUUUGGUUUAGCUUUUUUAUA